CGUAUGGUGCAAGCGUUAUCCGGAUUUACUGGGUGUAAGGGAGCGUAGACGGUUGUGUAAGUCUGAUGUGAAGCCCGGGCUCAACCCGGGACUGCAUUGGAACUAUGUAACUAGAGUGUCGGAGAGGUAAGCGGAAUUCCUAGUGUAGCGGUGAAAUGCGUAGAUAUUAGGAGGAACACCAGUGGCGAAGGCGGCUUACUGGACGAUCACUGACGUUGAGGCUCGAAAGCGUGGGAGCAAACAGGAUU
Molecule: ribosomal RNA, 248 nt
Filed under: uncultured bacterium
Lineage: Bacteria
Description: partial 16S ribosomal RNA
Rfam family: Bacterial small subunit ribosomal RNA
Source: RNAcentral